This 460-nucleotide ribosomal RNA is filed under the name uncultured bacterium. RNAcentral's name for it is "partial 16S ribosomal RNA". It matches the Rfam family "Bacterial small subunit ribosomal RNA", at positions 338 to 795 of the family's 1533-position model. The record is from RNAcentral.
CCUACGGGUGGCAGCAGUGAGGAAUAUUGGUCAAUGGGCGCGAGCCUGAACCAGCCAAGUAGCGUGAAGGAUGACGGCCCUACGGGUGGUAAACUUCUUUUAUAAAGGAAUAAAGUGCGGCACGUAUGCCUUUUUGCAUGUACCUUAUGAAUAAGGAUCGGCUAACUCCGUGCCAGCAGCCGCGGUAAUACGGAGGAUCCGAGCGUUAUCCGGAUUUAUUGGGUUUAAAGGGAGCGUAGAUGGGUUGGUAAGUCAGUUGUGAAAGUUUGCGGCUCAACCGUAAAAUUGCAAUUGAUACUGGCAGUCUUGAGUACAGUAGAGGUAGGCGGAAUUCGUGGUGUAGCGGUGAAAUGCUUAGAUAUCACGAAGAACUCCGAUUGCGAAGGCAGCUUACUAGACUGCCACUGACAUUGAUGCUCGAAAGUGUGGGUAUCAAACAGGAUUAGAUACCCCAGUAGUC